RNAcentral lists this ribosomal RNA (283 nucleotides) under uncultured soil bacterium. Its description in RNAcentral is "partial 16S ribosomal RNA". It matches the Rfam family "Bacterial small subunit ribosomal RNA", at positions 26 to 337 of the family's 1533-position model. The record is from RNAcentral.
AGAACGAACGCUGGCGGCAUGCCUAACACAUGCAAGUCGAACGAGACCUUCGGGUCUAGUGGCGCACGGGUGCGUAACGCGUGGGAAUCUGCCCUUGGGUUCGGAAUAACAGCGAGAAAUUGCUGCUAAUACCGGAUGAUGACGUAAGUCCAAAGAUUUAUCGCCCAAGGAUGAGCCCGCGUAGGAUUAGCUUGUUGGUGAGGUAAGAGCUCACCAAGGCGACGAUCCUUAGCUGGUCUGAGAGGAUGAUCAGCCACACUGGGACUGAGACACGGCCCAGACU